CUAUUGUGGUCCUCAGCAGAGCUGAUUGGCCACUGAGUGUGGGAAACUGUGUGUCGGGCUGCUCAGCUCACAUUGCGAGCCAUAAAUAGGGGAACACGGAUACAGCUUGUGACAGGCAAAGCCAACCAGUCACCCACCACCACUCUCCAUUGCUCCAAACUGGUUCAGAUAUAAUGCUGAUGUGCUGAUGGACAAGUACAGUUCAAGUUGGUGAAACUAGUUUUGAAGGAAACUUGCCACGAUGGAAACACAAACAAAUAAACAAACAAACUGAUGGAAAAGUUCAAUCCACUUCAAACUUCACUGGGAAAAAGAGAGUUGCAAAUUUCAAAGGAACAAAGAAGAAUCUGGUGACAACUGACACCCUGAAACAUCAGACCCAGGAGCUGCUUGUGUGAUCAAAGCACAGUAUUAGGAGAGCCAGACCAGGGAGGUAUCUCAGGGAUACUCCCCACGUGUUUGUGGGAGAUGGUGUUUCCUUCCACACAAACACCCAGGAUCACGUUCAGAAGAAAGUCGGGAGCAAUAUUUCAAAGAAUGGAAUUCCAGCCGAGGAGCUGUGUAAUUCUGUAUCUCCUGUGCACUCUCCUGCCUGCUUUUCAAACGUGCACUAUGGAGACCCUGGUGGAACCACAGCCCUGUAUUUAUUGAGCCCAACACAACCUACUAGAGAUGUACUCUAGUAAAACAGUAUUCCAGAAUGGAAAAAGUAUUCCCUUAUUACCUUCAAAUUGAAGGAAGUGGGUAGUCGUUUAAAUGGACAUUUAUUUUAAAACACUAUCCUUACUUUGUAAUGUCAUAUUGUUUGACUUUUGUUCUACAAUAUUUGUAGAGAUAUUGAGCAAAACAUCUGUAUAUUCACAAUGAAUGUGUAAAGUAAUGGGAUGGCACCAACAAUUGUGUAGAAUAAAUCUCUCCUUGUUCUAGUGUCUGGGAAUGGAAGAAAGUAAUUGGACUUUCUUGUUGAAGAUAUCUCUCAUCUUCUAUGAAAAGUUUAGCUCUAAUUGAUAACUCUGUGAGUUUUAUGUGUAUUUUAUAACUUCAACUAAACAGUUUUGCACAAUUUUUUGUGUAAAAAUGCAAUGUACAAUGAUAUAAAUGUCAAUGAAAAGAAUUAAGAAGCCACAGAAAUUUAGGUCAAUGAUUGGAAAUGGGUGUGUAGGAGAUUGUCUCCUGUAAAUUAUGUUGGGGAUGGAACAUGGGUUUGCAGAAAGUACAACAAUGGCUUUUUGUAAAAACUGUAAAAUAAAAACAGAAAAUAUUAAAGAACCUUA
Callorhinchus milii (elephant shark) is the source of this 1274-nucleotide long non-coding RNA. RefSeq lists it as uncharacterized. The record is from RefSeq and is a predicted model, not a curated record. The transcript has 3 exons. NCBI's taxonomy places the organism in Eukaryota, Metazoa, Chordata, Chondrichthyes, Chimaeriformes, Callorhinchidae.